UACGUAGGGUGCAAGCGUGAAUCGGAAUUACUGGGCGUAAAGCGUGCGCAGGCGGUGAUGUAAGACAGAUGUGAAAUCCCCGGGCUCAACCUGGGAACUGCAUUUGUGACUGCAUCGCUGGAGUACGGCAGAGGGGGAUGGAAUUCCGCGUGUAGCAGUGAAAUGCGUAGAUAUGCGGAGGAACACCGAUGGCGAAGGCAAUCCCCUGGGCCUGUACUGACGCUCAUGCACGAAAGCGUGGGGAGCAAACAGG
RNAcentral lists this ribosomal RNA (253 nucleotides) under uncultured bacterium. RNAcentral's name for it is "partial 16S ribosomal RNA". It matches the Rfam family "Bacterial small subunit ribosomal RNA", at positions 524 to 776 of the family's 1533-position model. The record is from RNAcentral.